CACACUGGAACUGAAACACGGUCCAGACUCCUACGGGAGGCAGCAGUGGGGAAUAUUGCGCAAUGGGCGAAAGCCUGACGCAGCGACGCCGCGUGAGGGAUGAAGGUUUUCGGAUCGUAAACCUCUGUCAGAAGGGAAGAAACUACGUUGUGCUAAUCAGCAGCGUACUGACGGUACCUUCAAAGGAAGCACCGGCUAAC
RNAcentral lists this ribosomal RNA (200 nucleotides) under uncultured bacterium. RNAcentral's name for it is "partial 16S ribosomal RNA". It matches the Rfam family "Bacterial small subunit ribosomal RNA", at positions 309 to 501 of the family's 1533-position model. The record is from RNAcentral.